This 1252-nucleotide ribosomal RNA is filed under the name Escherichia coli. RNAcentral's name for it is "partial 23S ribosomal RNA". It matches the Rfam family "Bacterial large subunit ribosomal RNA", at positions 290 to 1551 of the family's 2925-position model. Lineage: Bacteria; Pseudomonadati; Pseudomonadota; Gammaproteobacteria; Enterobacterales; Enterobacteriaceae. The record is from RNAcentral.
ACGGGGAGCAGCCCAGAGCCUGAAUCAGUAUGUGUGUUAGUGGAAGCGUCUGGAAAGGCGCGCGAUACAGGGUGACAGCCCCGUACACAAAAAUGCACAUGCUGUGAGCUCGAUGAGUAGGGCGGGACACGUGGUAUCCUGUCUGAAUAUGGGGGGACCAUCCUCCAAGGCUAAAUACUCCUGACUGACCGAUAGUGAACCAGUACCGUGAGGGAAAGGCGAAAAGAACCCCGGCGAGGGGAGUGAAAAAGAACCUGAAACCGUGUACGUACAAGCAGUGGGAGCACGCUUAGGCGUGUGACUGCGUACCUUUUGUAUAAUGGGUCAGCGACUUAUAUUCUGUAGCAAGGUUAACCGAAUAGGGGAGCCGAAGGGAAACCGAGUCUUAACUGGGCGUUAAGUUGCAGGGUAUAGACCCGAAACCCGGUGAUCUAGCCAUGGGCAGGUUGAAGGUUGGGUAACACUAACUGGAGGACCGAACCGACUAAUGUUGAAAAAUUAGCGGAUGACUUGUGGCUGGGGGUGAAAGGCCAAUCAAACCGGGAGAUAGCUGGUUCUCCCCGAAAGCUAUUUAGGUAGCGCCUCGUGAAUUCAUCUCCGGGGGUAGAGCACUGUUUCGGCAAGGGGGUCAUCCCGACUUACCAACCCGAUGCAAACUGCGAAUACCGGAGAAUGUUAUCACGGGAGACACACGGCGGGUGCUAACGUCCGUCGUGAAGAGGGAAACAACCCAGACCGCCAGCUAAGGUCCCAAAGUCAUGGUUAAGUGGGAAACGAUGUGGGAAGGCCCAGACAGCCAGGAUGUUGGCUUAGAAGCAGCCAUCAUUUAAAGAAAGCGUAAUAGCUCACUGGUCGAGUCGGCCUGCGCGGAAGAUGUAACGGGGCUAAACCAUGCACCGAAGCUGCGGCAGCGACGCUGAUGCGUUGUUGGGUAGGGGAGCGUUCUGUAAGCCUGCGAAGGUGUGCUGUGAGGCAUGCUGGAGGUAUCAGAAGUGCGAAUGCUGACAUAAGUAACGAUAAAGCGGGUGAAAAGCCCGCUCGCCGGAAGACCAAGGGUUCCUGUCCAACGUUAAUCGGGGCAGGGUGAGUCGACCCCUAAGGCGAGGCCGAAAGGCGUAGUCGAUGGGAAACAGGUUAAUAUUCCUGUACUUGGUGUUACUGCGAAGGGGGGACGGAGAAGGCUAUGUUGGCCGGGCGACGGUUGUCCCGGUUUAAGCGUGUAGGCUGGUUUUCCAGGCAAAUCCGGAAAAUC